This 387-nucleotide ribosomal RNA is filed under the name uncultured bacterium. RNAcentral's name for it is "bacterial SSU rRNA". It matches the Rfam family "Bacterial small subunit ribosomal RNA", at positions 30 to 416 of the family's 1533-position model. The record is from RNAcentral.
AUUGAACGCUGGCGGCAUGCCUUACACAUGCAAGUCGAACGGCAGCACGGGAGCUUGCUCCUGGUGGCGAGUGGCGAACGGGUGAGUAAUACAUCGGAACGUACCCUGAAGUGGGGGAUAACGUAGCGAAAGUUACGCUAAUACCGCAUAUUCUGUGAGCAGGAAAGAGGGGGAUCGCAAGACCUCUUGCUUUAGGAGCGGCCGAUGUCGGAUUAGCUAGUUGGUGAGGUAAAGGCUCACCAAGGCGACGAUCCGUAGCGGGUCUGAGAGGAUGAUCCGCCACACUGGGACUGAGACACGGCCCAGACUCCUACGGGAGGCAGCAGUGGGGAAUUUGGACAAUGGGCGCAAGCCUGAUCCAGCCAUGCCGCGUGAGUGAAGAAGGCC